GCAUGAGAUACAUGAGCCAUACGUACGAGCCUGUUACAGCCCAUCGAAAGGCCUGCUCGAUGGAUGACAAAACAUCCUAAUCGCCUGUAAUCCUCUCGCCUCUCCUGGCAGUUGCCACAUCGCGAGGAAUCGAAGUCUCUGCGACGCAUCUAAGCUCCGUCUAGGCGCCGCCAGCAGCGCCUCGCCGCUCGUCUUCAAGUCUUCGUCAAUUGUCCAUCUAAAGAAUCUGGAAUGGUGUCUAGGUUGAACAUUUAAUCCUCUGUCGCUCGUUCUGGGACCGGGUCUAGGAGUAACACCGCUGAUGAUUCAGAUCACCAUGAAUGAACGUCUAUUUUCUCAUCCUCAAGGGAACGUCGGAUGUAACAUGAUCCUAGUCAAAAGUGAUUGCAUGGAAGUGGUGGAAGUCAUGAAGAAUGGCGGUAACUCUCUAGGCGUGGCGGUAGCUAUUUAAGAGGAGUGUACUUUUUUGUCGUACUUUCACUAGUGUAAUAUUUCACAUUGUCCUAGGGAGGCUAAUAGAGCAGCUCAUAAUUUAGCUCAGUUUAGCGAGGGAAACCAAAUGUGGCAAGAACCCCUCAAUUUCUUUGAGUUGUUCUAGCAGAUGAUGUAACUCUUAUUCCUGAUCAAUAAAAACCGCCAUGAUGACUUCUCUCUCAAAAAAAAUGUGCGUGCAUGUUUGCUCAAAGCCCGGUUAAAACAGAACUACAAAGCCUCACUACAAC
This 722-nucleotide ribosomal RNA is filed under the name Triticum aestivum (bread wheat). RNAcentral's name for it is "partial small subunit ribosomal RNA". The record is from RNAcentral. Lineage: Eukaryota; Viridiplantae; Streptophyta; Magnoliopsida; Poales; Poaceae.